This 468-nucleotide ribosomal RNA is filed under the name uncultured bacterium. RNAcentral's name for it is "partial 16S ribosomal RNA". It matches the Rfam family "Bacterial small subunit ribosomal RNA", at positions 28 to 507 of the family's 1533-position model. The record is from RNAcentral.
GACGAACGCUGGCGGCGUGCUUAACACAUGCAAGUCGAACGGAAAGGCCCUGCUUUUGUGGGGUGCUCGAGUGGCGAACGGGUGAGUAACACGUGAGUAACCUGCCCUUGACUUUGGGAUAACUUCAGGAAACUGGGGCUAAUACCGGAUAGGAGCUCCUGCUGCAUGGUGGGGGUUGGAAAGUUUCGGCGGUUGGGGAUGGACUCGCGGCUUAUCAGCUUGUUGGUGGGGUAGUGGCUUACCAAGGCUUUGACGGGUAGCCGGCAUGAGAGGGUGAACGGCGACAUGGGGACUGAGAGAGGGAGCAGAGGGCAACGGGAGACAGUAGGGGGGAAUCUUGCACAGUGGGCGGACGUCUGAUGAAGAAACGUCGCGAGUGGGAUGAAGGCUUUCGGGGUGUAAACCGCUUUAGCCUGAGACGAAGCGGGAGUGACGGUAAUGGGUAAAGAAGCACCGGCUAACUACGUG